This is a long non-coding RNA of Mastomys coucha (southern multimammate mouse), 122 nucleotides long. RefSeq lists it as uncharacterized. The record is from RefSeq and is a predicted model, not a curated record. Lineage: Eukaryota; Metazoa; Chordata; Mammalia; Rodentia; Muridae. The transcript is spliced from 2 exons.
AUAAGCCUGUGUCAGGAGCCUGAGGGGCAGGAUGAAGAGAGACAAGUCUGUGACCUGCAAACAGCUGGUAACUUUAAUGAGAUCACAUUAGAGAAAAUAAACUUGCUGAGGACUCAAUUAAA